AACGAACGCUGGCGGCAGGCUUAACACAUGCAAGUCGAGCGGGGUGAUGGUGCUUGCACUAUCACUUAGCGGCGGACGGGUGAGUAAUGCUUAGGAAUCUGCCUAUUAGUGGGGGACAACAUCUCGAAAGGGAUGCUAAUACCGCAUACGUACUACGGGAGAAAGCAGGGGAUCACUUGUGACCUUGCGCUAAUAGAUGAGCCUAAGUUGGAUUAGCUAGUUGGUGGGGUAAAGGCCUACCAAGGCGACGAUCUGUAGCGGGUCUGAGAGGAUGAUCCGCCACACUGGGACUGAGACACGGCCCAGACUCCGACGGGAGGCAGCAGUGGGGAAUAUUGGACAAUGGGGGGAACCCUGAUCCAGCCAUGCCGCGUGUGUGAAGAAGGCCUUAUGGUUGUAAAGCACUUUAAGCGAGGAGGAGGCUCUUUUGGUUAAUACCCAAGAUGAGUGGACGUUACUCGCAGAAUAAGCACCGGCUAACUCUGUGCCAGCCGCCGCGGUAA
This 503-nucleotide ribosomal RNA is filed under the name uncultured bacterium. Its description in RNAcentral is "partial 16S ribosomal RNA". It matches the Rfam family "Bacterial small subunit ribosomal RNA", at positions 29 to 523 of the family's 1533-position model. The record is from RNAcentral.